UACGUAGGGUGCGAGCGUUAAUCGGAAUUACUGGGCGUAAAGCGUGCGCAGGCGGUUUUGUAAGCCAGAUGUGAAAUCCCCGGGCUUAACCUGGGAAUGGCAUUUGGGACUGCAAGGCUCGAGUGCGGCAGAGGAGACUGGAAUUCCUGGUGUAGCAGUGAAAUGGGUAGAUAUCAGGAGGAACACCGAUGGCGAAGGCAGGUCUCUGGGCUGACACUGACGCUCAUGCACGAAAGCGUGGGGAGCAAACAGG
RNAcentral lists this ribosomal RNA (253 nucleotides) under uncultured bacterium. RNAcentral's name for it is "partial 16S ribosomal RNA". It matches the Rfam family "Bacterial small subunit ribosomal RNA", at positions 524 to 776 of the family's 1533-position model. The record is from RNAcentral.